GAUGAACGCUGGCGGCGUGCCUAAUACAUGCAAGUCGAGCGAACGGACGAGAAGCUUGCUUUUCUGAUGUUAGCGGCGGACGGGUGAGUAACACGUGGAUAACCUACCUAUAAGACUGGGAUAACUUCGGGAAACCGGAGCUAAUACCGGAUAAUAUUUUGAACCGCAUGGUUCAAAAGUGAAAGACGGUCUUGCUGUCACUUAUAGAUGGAUCCGCGCUGCAUUAGCUAGUUGGUAAGGUAACGGCUUACCAAGGCAACGAUGCAUAGCCGACCUGAGAGGGUGGUCGGCCACACUGGAACUGAGACACGGUCCAGCCUCCUACGGGAGGCAGCAGUAGGGAAGCUUCCGCAAUGGUCGAAAGCCUGACGGAGCAACGCCGCGUGAGUGAUGAAGGUCUUCGGAUCGUAAAACUCUGUUAUUAGGGAAGAACAUAUGUGUAAGUAACUGUGGACAUCUUGACGGUACCUAAUCAGAAAGCCACGGCUAACUACGUG
RNAcentral lists this ribosomal RNA (497 nucleotides) under uncultured bacterium. Its description in RNAcentral is "partial 16S ribosomal RNA". It matches the Rfam family "Bacterial small subunit ribosomal RNA", at positions 28 to 507 of the family's 1533-position model. The record is from RNAcentral.